Molecule: ribosomal RNA, 253 nt
Filed under: uncultured bacterium
Lineage: Bacteria
Description: partial 16S ribosomal RNA
Rfam family: Bacterial small subunit ribosomal RNA
Source: RNAcentral
UACGUAGGGGGCAAACGUUGUCCGGAUUUACUGGGUGUAAAGGGUGCUCAGGCGGUUUUGUAAGUCAGAAGUGAAAUCCUAGAGCUUAACUCUGGAACUGCUUUUGAUACUGCAAGGCUCGAGGGAGGUAGGGGCAGCUGGAACUUCCGGUGGAGCGGUGAAAUGCGUUGAUAUCGGAAGGAACGCCGGUGGCGAAAGCGAGCUGUUGGACCUCUGCUGACGCUGAGGCGCGAAAGCCAGGGGAGCAAACGGG